Molecule: ribosomal RNA, 309 nt
Filed under: uncultured archaeon
Lineage: Archaea
Description: bacterial SSU rRNA
Rfam family: Archaeal small subunit ribosomal RNA
Source: RNAcentral
CUGCCGUGUAAGUCCACUGUGAAAUCCACCCGCCUAACGGGUGGGCGUCCAGCGGAAACUGUCCGGCUUGGGGCCGAACGACCCGAGGGGUACGUCCGGGGUAGGAGUGAAAUCCCGUAAUCCUGGACGGACCGCCGGUGGCGAAAGCGCCUCGGGAGGACGGACCCGACGGUGAGGGACGAAAGCCAGGGUCUCGAACCGGAUUAGAUACCCGGGUAGUCCUGGCCGUAAACGAUGCUCGCUAGGUGUGGCGCAGGCUACGAGCCUGCGCUGUGCCGUAGGGAAGCCGUGAAGCGAGCCGCCUGGGAA